GAACUUGGCCAAAGGUAGAGUUCGUUGUCAUGGUUAUAAACUCGAACAAUAGAAGGGCGGAUUAUGAGGUACUAGGGGUGCUUGCCGUCAUGAGAUUUCUUCAGGGCGAGCGCGGAUUACGCUGCUCCCAAUGAAGUACCAGCAGUAUCAGAAUUUCAUGUGAAAGAAAAAUGGACAUGCUUAUGAAAAAAGAACGAUUAUAAUGAAUAAUAUGAAAGUACAACAAACAGGAGCAAUUGAUAAUGUUAGUUUAUAUUUUGCACGAUUGGAGAAAUAAAGUAUCGUAAUCUUGAA
Long non-coding RNA from Strongylocentrotus purpuratus (purple sea urchin), 294 nucleotides. RefSeq lists it as uncharacterized. NCBI's taxonomy places the organism in Eukaryota, Metazoa, Echinodermata, Echinoidea, Camarodonta, Strongylocentrotidae. The record is from RefSeq and is a predicted model, not a curated record. The transcript is spliced from 2 exons.